Molecule: non-coding RNA, 79 nt
Organism: Cooperia oncophora
Lineage: Eukaryota; Metazoa; Nematoda; Chromadorea; Rhabditida; Trichostrongylidae
Source: the annotation of a GenBank genome assembly
GCGUCGUUUAGCCUCAGUGGUACGAAGGCGUUAAGAACCUUUUAAUCUAACGGUCAGGGUUCGAGUCCCCUACGGGGCU